RNAcentral lists this ribosomal RNA (433 nucleotides) under uncultured bacterium. RNAcentral's name for it is "partial 16S ribosomal RNA". It matches the Rfam family "Bacterial small subunit ribosomal RNA", at positions 29 to 507 of the family's 1533-position model. The record is from RNAcentral.
AACGAACGCUGGCGGCAUGCCUAACACAUGCAAGUCGAACGAGACCUUCGGGUCUAGUGGCGCACGGGUGCGUAACGCGUGGGAACCUUCCCUUAGGUUCGGAAUAACUCCCCGAAAGGGGUGCUAAUACCGGAUAAUGUCUUCGGACCAAAGAUUUAUCGCCUUUGGAUGGGCCCGCGUUGGAUUAGCUAGUUGGUAGGGUAAAAGCCUACCAAGGCGACGAUCCAUAGCUGGUCUGAGAGGAUGAGCAGCCACACUGGGACUGAGACACGGCCCAGACUCCUACGGGAGGGAGCAGUGGGGAAUAUUGGAAAAUGGGCGAAAGCCUGAUCCAGCAAUGCCGCGUGAGUGAUGAAGGCCUUAGGGUUGUAAAGCUCUUUUACCCGGGAUGAUAAUGACAGUACCGGGAGAAUAAGCUCCGGCUAACUCCGUG